UCUUCAGUGAGGUACAUCCUUACCUGUUACUCCUUCCGAGGAGUUGCAGAAUAUGAUGAAUGGAGAUCAAUGAGAGAUGAUUAUUGUCUCUGACUUAUUGGGAACGACAACACCCAGUAACGUCCAUUCUGAU
Molecule: small nucleolar RNA, 133 nt
Organism: Synchiropus splendidus (mandarinfish)
Lineage: Eukaryota; Metazoa; Chordata; Actinopteri; Syngnathiformes; Callionymidae
Product: U8 small nucleolar RNA
Exons: 1
Source: RefSeq, a predicted model, not a curated record